GUGACGCAGAAUUUAGCGCUGAGAGGCACAACAGACCCAAAGACGAACGUGAAACGACGCCGUUGACGUAGCAUGUCUGGCACGCUACAGCUUCUUACGCUGCUGAGCUACAUACCAGCACCAUACAGGGACUGGGCCCAUCUGGAAAUGGAGUCCUGACCUUUAAGCAGACGCAAGACGCAAACUCCUGUGGAACGUUCUGAGAGAUUACCAGCAUUUCUGGGGGGAAUUCCACAGUCUAUGGCAUUCCUGAGGAAGGGGAAGAAGGAGGAAGAGAUGACUCGGUGCAUGGAUUCUGCAUCGGCAUGUAGUCUCAUGUGCCCAGUGUGUGCCACUUACAAAGUGGGCUGAUUUAU
Molecule: long non-coding RNA, 356 nt
Organism: Brienomyrus brachyistius
Lineage: Eukaryota; Metazoa; Chordata; Actinopteri; Osteoglossiformes; Mormyridae
Exons: 3
Source: RefSeq, a predicted model, not a curated record